AUCCCAUGAUGUGGACAAUUUCUAAUCAGAGCCUUGAAUCUCUCCCAAGCAUCACAGAGAGAUUCGUUGUCGAGCUGAAUAAAAUUAUUAAUCUCCCCUUGUAGCU
Molecule: small nucleolar RNA, 106 nt
Organism: Cannabis sativa
Lineage: Eukaryota; Viridiplantae; Streptophyta; Magnoliopsida; Rosales; Cannabaceae
Source: RefSeq, a predicted model, not a curated record